GACGAACGCUGGCGGCGUGCUUAACACAUGCAAGUCGUACGGUAAGGCCCUUUCGGGGGUCCACGAGUGGCGAACGGGUGAGUAACACGUGAGUAACCUGCCCACAACUUUGGGAUAACGCUAGGAAACUGGUGCUAAUACUGGAUAUGUGCUCCUGCUGCAUGGUGGGGGUUGGAAAGCUCCGGCGGUUGUGGAUGGACUCGCGGCCUAUCAGCUUGUUGGUGGGGUAGUGGCCUACCAAGGCGGCGACGGGUAGCCGGCCUGAGAGGGUGACCGGCCACAUUGGGACUGAGAUACGGCCCAGACUCCUACGGGAGGCAGCAGUGGGGAAGAUUGCACAAUGGGCGCAAGCCGGAUGCAGCAACGCCGCGUGCGGGAGGACGGCCUUCGGGUUGUAAACCGCUUUCAGCAGGGACGAAGCUUUUUGUGACGGUACCUGCAGAAGAAGCACCGGCUAACUACGUG
RNAcentral lists this ribosomal RNA (465 nucleotides) under uncultured bacterium. RNAcentral's name for it is "partial 16S ribosomal RNA". It matches the Rfam family "Bacterial small subunit ribosomal RNA", at positions 28 to 507 of the family's 1533-position model. The record is from RNAcentral.